RNAcentral lists this unclassified non-coding RNA (264 nucleotides) under Hevea brasiliensis (rubber tree). Lineage: Eukaryota; Viridiplantae; Streptophyta; Magnoliopsida; Malpighiales; Euphorbiaceae. The record is from RNAcentral.
GAACGUCCUCCUACAAGCUGAGAGUAGGAAGCACCAAAACAGAAUCUAUUCAUGGGAUCAAAACUACGGAAUCACCUCCAACUUGUUCAAUUAAAUGCCCAUCAUCCACUUCCAAUACAAAUUGCAGACCAUACCAACCUCCUUAUAUCUACAAUCUAUUAGUAAUCCAAUUAAGAGCUAAAAUUGGGUUAACUCCGUUGUAGUUUUUUGGGUUGAAUGGAGGUGUUUUUGCUGUCUUCUUAUUAGUUUGCACAAGCAAUUGAA